Molecule: ribosomal RNA, 496 nt
Filed under: uncultured bacterium
Lineage: Bacteria
Description: bacterial SSU rRNA
Rfam family: Bacterial small subunit ribosomal RNA
Source: RNAcentral
AAAUGAAUAGACGGGGGCCCGCACAAGCGGAGGAACAUGUGGUUUAAUUCGAUGAUACGCGAGGAACCUUACCCGGGCUCGAACGGUAUGUGGCGGUUGCCAGAGAUGGCUUCCUUCCUUCGGGACACAUAUCGAGGUGCUGCAUGGUUGUCGUCAGCUCGUGCCGUGAGGUGUCGGCUUAAGUGCCAUAACGAGCGCAACCCUUGUCGUCAGUUGCCAUCAGGUAAUGCUGGGGACUCUGGCGAGACUGCCACCGCAAGGUGUGAGGAAGGAGGGGAUGACGUCAAAUCAGCACGGCCCUUACGUCCGGGGCGACACACGUGUUACAAUGGUGAGGACAGAGGGUAGCUCCAUAGUGAUAUGUUGCCAAUCUCAAAACCUCAUCUCAGUUCGGAUUGGAGUCUGCAACUCGACUCCAUGAAGUUGGAUUCGCUAGUAAUCGCGCAUCAGCCAUGGCGCGGUGAAUACGUUCCCGGGCCUUGUACACACCGCCCGU